CCCUUAGAUGUUCUGGGCCGCACGCGCGCUACACUGACGAAUGCAACGAGCUUAUAACCUUGGCCGAAAGGUCUGGGUAAUCUCCAAAUUUCGUCGUGAUGGGGAUAGAUUAUUGCAAUUAUUAAUCUUCAACGAGGAAUGCCUAGUAAGCGCAAGUCAUCAGCUUGCGUUGAUUACGUCCCUGCCCUUUGUACACACCGCCCGUCGCUCCUACCGAUUGAAUGGUCCGGUGAAGCGUUCGGACCGUGGCCUUUAGACGGUUCGCCGUCUGUUGGCUGCGGGAAGUUCGUUAAACCUUAUCAUUUAGAGGAAGGAGAAGUCGUAACA
RNAcentral lists this ribosomal RNA (327 nucleotides) under uncultured eukaryote. Its description in RNAcentral is "partial 18S ribosomal RNA". It matches the Rfam family "Eukaryotic small subunit ribosomal RNA", at positions 1470 to 1796 of the family's 1831-position model. The record is from RNAcentral.